GACGAACGCUGGCGGCGUGCUUAACACAUGCAAGUCGAACGGUAAGGCCCUUCGGGGUACACGAGUGGCGAACGGGUGAGUAACACGUGGGUGAUCUGCCCUGCACUUCGGGAUAAGCCUGGGAAACUGGGUCUAAUACCGGAUAGGACCACUGCCUGCAUGGGUGGUGGUGGAAAGCUUUUGCGGUGUGGGAUGGGCCCGCGGCCUAGCAGCUUGUUGGUGGGGUGAUGGCCUACCACGGCGACGACGGGUAGCCGGCCUGAGAGGGUGACCGGCCACACUGGGACUGAGAUACGGCCCAGACUCCUACGGGAGGCAGCAGUGGGGAAUAUUGCACAAUGGGCGCAAGCCUGACGCAGCGACGCCGCGUGAGGGAUGACGGCCUUCGGGUUGUAAACCUCUUUCAGCACCGACGAAGCGCAAGUGACGGUAGGUGCAGAAGAAGGACCGGCCAACUACGUGCCAGCAGCCGCAGUAA
RNAcentral lists this ribosomal RNA (478 nucleotides) under uncultured bacterium. Its description in RNAcentral is "partial 16S ribosomal RNA". It matches the Rfam family "Bacterial small subunit ribosomal RNA", at positions 28 to 523 of the family's 1533-position model. The record is from RNAcentral.